Molecule: ribosomal RNA, 250 nt
Filed under: uncultured bacterium
Lineage: Bacteria
Description: partial 16S ribosomal RNA
Rfam family: Bacterial small subunit ribosomal RNA
Source: RNAcentral
UACGAAGGGGGCUAGCGUUGUUCGGAAUUACUGGGCGUAAAGCGCACGUAGGCGGAUCUGUCAGUCAGGGGUGAAAUCCCGGGGCUCAACCUCGGAAUUGCCUUUGAUACUACAGAUCUAGAGUCCGGAAGAGGUGAGUGGAAUUCCUAGUGUAGAGGUGAAAUUCGUAGAUAUUAGGAAGAACACCAGUGGCGAAGGCGGCUCACUGGUCCGGCACUGACGCUGAGGUGCGAAAGCGUGGGGAGCAAAC